AUACCUGAUAGUAUGGUGAGAUUGCAUGAUAGCACCAUUAAAGAUUUAUUGGUAAACGAUGGGGAUGCGUUCCAUUAGGUAGUAGGCGGGGUAACGGCCCACCUAGCCGACGAUGGAUAGGGGUUCUGAGAGGAAGGUCCCCCACAUUGGAACUGAGACACGGUCCAAACUCCUACGGGAGGCAGCAGUGAGGAAUAUUGGUCAUUGGGCGAGAGCCUGAACCAGCCAAGUAGCGUGAAGGAUGAAGGUCCUACGGAUUGUAAACUUCUUUUAUACGGGAAUAAAGUAUCCUACGUGUAGGAUUUUGUAUGUACCGUAUGAAUAAGCAUCGGCUAACUCCGUGCCAGCAGCCGCGGUAAUACGGAGGAUGCGAGCGUUAUCCGGAUUUAUUGGGUUUAAAGGGAGCGCAGACGGGAGAUUAAGUCAGUUGUGAAAGUUUGCGGCUCAACCGUAAAAUUGCAGUUGAUACUGGUUUCCUUGAGUGCAGUUGAGGCAGGCGGAAUUCGUGGUGUAGCGGUGAAAUGCUUAGAUAUCACGAAGAACUCCGAUUGCGAAGGCAGCACACUAAUCCGUAACUGACGUUCAUGCUCGAAAGUGUGGGUAUCAAACAGGAUUAGAUACCCU
Molecule: ribosomal RNA, 624 nt
Filed under: uncultured bacterium
Lineage: Bacteria
Description: bacterial SSU rRNA
Rfam family: Bacterial small subunit ribosomal RNA
Source: RNAcentral